Molecule: ribosomal RNA, 906 nt
Filed under: uncultured bacterium
Lineage: Bacteria
Description: bacterial SSU rRNA
Rfam family: Bacterial small subunit ribosomal RNA
Source: RNAcentral
UGAGUUUGAUCCUGGCUCAGGAUGAACGUUGGCGGCGUGCCUAAUACAUGCAAGUCGAACGGAGAUUGUAGCAAUACGGUCUCAGUGGCGAACGGGUGAGUAACGCGUUGGUGACCUGCCCCGAAGUGUGGAAUAACAGAUCGAAAGAGCUGCUAAUACCGCAUAAUAUCCAGAGGACUAGAUGCCUUUGGAUUAAAGGAUUUAUUCGCUUCGGGAGGGGCCUGCGUCCCAUCAGCUAGUUGGUAAGGUAAAGGCUUACCAAGGCUAUGACGGGUAGGGGACCUGAGAGGGUGGCCCCCCACAAUGGAACUGAAACACGGUCCAUACACCUACGGGUGGCAGCAGUAGGGAAUAUUAGUAAUGGGCGAAAGCCUGAACUAGCAACGCCGCGUGUGCGAAGAAGGCCUUCGGGUUGUAAAGCACUUUUUGAGAGGAUGAGGAAGGACGGUACUCUCAGAAUAAGUCUCGGCUAACUACGUGCCAGCAGCCGCGGUAACACGUAGGAGGCGAACGUUAUCCGGAUUUACUGGGCGUAAAGCGCGUGUAGGUGGUUUGGUAAGUAGGGCGUGAAAGCUCCUGGCUCAACUGGGAGAGGCCGUUCUAAACUGCCGAACUAGAGGAUGGUAGAGGGAGGUGGAAUUCCGGGUGUAGCGGUGGAAUGCGCAGAUAUCCGGAGGAACACCAGUGGCGAAAGCGGCCUCCUGGACCACUCCUGACACUCAGACGCGAAAGCUAGGGUAGCAAACGGGAUUAGAGACCCCGGUAGUCCUAGCCCUAAACGAUGUAGACUUGGCGUCGGUGGUUUAAACGCCAUCGGUGUCGAAGCUAACGCGAUGAGUCUACCGCCUGGGGGACUACGGCCGCAAGGUUAAAACUCAAAGGAAUUGACGGGUCCCCGCACAAGCA